Molecule: ribosomal RNA, 253 nt
Filed under: uncultured bacterium
Lineage: Bacteria
Description: partial 16S ribosomal RNA
Rfam family: Bacterial small subunit ribosomal RNA
Source: RNAcentral
UACGUAGGCAGCAAGCGUUGUUCGGAGUUACUGGGCGUAAAGGGUGCGUAGGCGGCCCUGUAGGUAUGGUGUGAAAUCUCCCGGCUUAACUGGGAGGGUGCGCUAUAGACUGCGGGGCUCGAGUGUGGGAGAGGAAAGUGGAAUUCCUGGUGUAGCGGUGAAAUGCGUAGAUAUCAGGAGGAACACCGGUGGUGUAAACGGCUUUCUGGACCAUAACUGACGCUGAGGCACGAAAGCGUGGGUAGCAAACAGG